RNAcentral lists this unclassified non-coding RNA (2712 nucleotides) under Rhagoletis pomonella (apple maggot). Its description in RNAcentral is "dNA replication licensing factor REC, transcript variant X1". Lineage: Eukaryota; Metazoa; Arthropoda; Insecta; Diptera; Tephritidae. The record is from RNAcentral.
AUUCAAAAGUCUGUCACACUCGUUCUGUCCAAAAGAGAUUGCAGGAACAGUUACAUAUCGCACGUAAAGGGGCUUUCCGAUACUACUUUUUUCUGUUUAGACGGUGAAUGCGGAACGUCUAGUCUCAAACUUUCUCCUUCAGUUAUAUUCGAUUGGCAACUCGGUAAGAUGUCAGACAACAUCCAUUGCCUACCAUUAGGCGCCUUGAACAAAACAGAAGACAGCAAACAGCUGAUUUUAUUUGUCAACAUCGGUACAACAACGCGGGUUCAUUUUAAAUUUUAACUUUAAUUUAUAAAUAAAAGUUUUGUGGGACCUUCAUUAGUCAACAACAAUGAAUCGGCGAAUUGAACGUGCUCCGGGACGCUUCGUCCGAGGCCGGGCACAUGGAGGAGGCGCUUAUCGUCCGUACUUUUAUUUUCGUCGCAACGGUCGGACAAUACCAGCUGGUGGCCGGGGAGAUUGUCAGGCAGCAGGAAGCGCACCGAGAGGUGGCGGUUGGCGUGGACGUCGUCGUGGAUCACAGCGUAACGAUAAUUCCUUGACACAUCCACCAGACAUCCGCUUAGAUUCGUCGUUCCUGCGACCUGAAUGUUAUGCAGCGCCGGAAGAUGCUCAACAUAUGGCACAAAGCAUUGCAGUUAAUAUGCCCCUACAAUGUCCCGGUUGGCAUAUGUACUUUCAACAAGAGCCGUACAAGGAGGCAUCGGAAGUAGCCGUACGAAUUAAGUCAGUGGAAGAUUACUAUAAUCGACAAGAAGCGCUUUAUGAUUUGAAGCAAAUACAAUUUGCAAAGUGCUUUAAGUUGGAGGAGAAUAAAGUUACUGCGGAUGAAUUACUUAUGAAAGCGUGGCCACAUUUGAAACAAGAUAUGUUGGCGCAUACGCACCGCACAUUGGCAACAUUCGGCGUCGCUAUGCACAAAGUAGUGACAUUGGCAACGGUGGAUCAUUUGUCGAGUCAACGAGCGUGUAGCAAAGAUGUCUACGUGCCGCGCUGCACUCUACCACGAAAGAUAUACGUGAGACCAGUGGGUUUUCAAGAACUUAGUUUAAUAUCUGAUGUGGAUACUUCGGUUGUGGAUAGUAUGUGCAGAGUACGCGGCGUAGUGUCUGCUAUAGGGCCAGUAGAAGCGAGCGCCUCUUGGAUAGCUUUCAAAUGUUCGCGAUGCGGGCAGGAGCAAACGCUAAAGCAAAGUGGAUUCUAUACUUCGCGCCCAUAUAACUGCAAGCGCGAAGGAUGCAUAGCAAAGAAGAAUUUUAUAGAGCAACGAUCAUCUCCUUUUACUCGCAUCACUCCUUUGCAAAUAAUACAACUUCAAGAGAACAAUUUACAGUCGCCUGGCGACUCUGAAAUGGGAAAUCAAAAAACCUUAGAUAUCGAACUAAGAUAUGACUUAGUUGAUACUCUCGUAUCUGGGCAAGAUGUAAUCAUAACGGGUAUACUUAAAAUGCAUUCAUUAAUCGACGAACAAAAUACAUAUCCCAAUUCCGCUGAGCCUGCGUGUAAAAUCUAUAUGAAAGCAGCCUCCAUAAUAGAUGCAAAGAAGUUGGGCCACAACUUUACUCAACGUGAUCUCGACGCAAUUUCAAUGAUAAACUCAGAACCAGACAGUUUUAAGCUUCUGGCACAUUCCGUGGCGCCAGAGCUGCAUGGCGAAGAGUUGGUGAAAGCAGGUGUGUUACUAUCACUUUUUGGUGGUGCUGGCUCACAAAUACACAAUGAUUCAGAGAUUAAUGUGCUAUUGGUUGGCGAUCCGGGCAUUGGCAAAUCACAUUUACUAGAAAUGAGUGCAAAAGUUUCGCAGAGAGGUACGCUGCUCAGGGGCAAACGUUGUUCGCCUUCUACGCAAUCAUUAACCACAACGCUUCAAGGCCGCACAAAUCACAUUGUCAACUCUGGCGCGCUUAUUACUUCCAAAACUGGCCAUUGUGCAAUCGAUGAUCUUGAUCGUUUAGCUUCACAGCAAGACAUUCUAUUGCAAUUGAUGCAAUGUAAAACUGUUUCAUUACCAUUGCCUAAUAUAUAUACAACUAUUGCGAUGCCCACGUCCGUUAUUGCUGCUGCCAACUCACUGCGUGGUCAUUACGAUCGUUCACGGCUACUGACAGAAAAUACACGUUUGAACAAUUCAUUGCUGCAGCAAUUUCACUUAAUAUUUUUGCUAUUAGAUAAGUCUAAUAAAGAUUUGGAUACGUCUUUAACGGAACACAUCAAAGCAAUGCAUGAUGGCGUAAAGAAAAGCUCUGCGAUUGCUUCACGGUUCGCUAUGAAACCAAAAGGAAAUAAUUCAAUGAAUAUUACCAUCAGCGAUGAUGAACUGGACGAUGACAAUUAUGAUUUGAGUGAUCGUUUAAAAUUAAAAUAUAUAGAAUUUGAAGAGGAGAAAUUGGAUUUACUGCCACCAAUAUUAUUGAAGAAGUUUAUCGCAUAUGCUCGCCAACAUAUGCGUCCAUUAUUAAGUGAUGAGUCUGCCGAAACUUUAAAAUCCUUUCAUAUGGGUUUGCGAGAGAAAGGAGAUGAAGAAAAUCGUUGCACUGUGAGUACAAGAUGUGAAAAAUGCAGAAGAAAUUGACGACCAAGUCGAAACGGACUUGCUGUAUGAUAGUUGCACGGAUAAAAUAAUAAUCACCUCGAGGGUCUCAUCCGACUCUCACAAGCCCGUGCGCGCAUUGAUUUCUCGGCGGAAGUGACGAAAGCGCAUAUACGCGA